GCCUGCCAGAAGAGUUGACGGUAAAGUGAGCCCCACCAUCGCAAGGUGGUGAUUGCUGUAACUCCUUUGACGUGAAGGCGUACUGGACGCGGGUUCGAUUCCCGCCACCUCCACCAGAUGACGCGUUUGGCAGAAGCGCCAUCUGAUGGGGGUGUCCCGGUUUCGACAGGGCGAGAUAGCGAAGAAGGCAGCAGGAAAGGUGACCGACCUAACCGGCACAAAUCCGUAACUGCAAAUGAUGGCAGCUACACCUUGAGAGCUAACGGCUAACAUCCGGUUUUGCUUCUCCGAGUUGCCGCCCCA
RNAcentral lists this transfer-messenger RNA (303 nucleotides) under Paraburkholderia sp. BL10I2N1. RNAcentral's name for it is "Betaproteobacteria transfer-messenger RNA". The stretch from base 1 to 270 matches the Rfam family "Betaproteobacteria transfer-messenger RNA". From Rfam's summary of the family: Bacterial tmRNA, also known as 10Sa RNA or SsrA, is named for its dual tRNA and mRNA-like properties. Its role is to liberate the mRNA from a stalled ribosome. The record is from RNAcentral. Lineage: Bacteria; Pseudomonadati; Pseudomonadota; Betaproteobacteria; Burkholderiales; Burkholderiaceae.